RNAcentral lists this ribosomal RNA (448 nucleotides) under uncultured Chloroflexota bacterium. RNAcentral's name for it is "bacterial SSU rRNA". It matches the Rfam family "Bacterial small subunit ribosomal RNA", at positions 924 to 1382 of the family's 1533-position model. The record is from RNAcentral. Lineage: Bacteria; Bacillati; Chloroflexota.
CACAAGCAGCGGAGCGUGUGGUUUAAUUCGAUGCAACGCGAAGAACCUUACCAAGGCUUGACAUGCCAGAAGUAGGAACUCGAAAGAGAGACCACCUGUAUCCAGUCAGGAACUGGCACAGGUGCUGCAUGGCUGUCGUCAGCUCGUGCCGUGAGGUGUUAGGUUAAGUCCUGCAACGAGCGCAACCCUCGUCGCUAGUUAAAUUUUUCUAGCGAUACUGCCCGUAAAACGAGGAGGAAGGUGGGGAUGACGUCAAGUCAGCAUGGCCCUUACGCCUUGGGCUACACACACGCUACAAUGGGUGAUACAACGGGUUGCGAGAGAGCGAUCUGGAGCUAAUCCCUAAAAUCAUCCUCAGUUCGGAUUGCAGGCUGAAACUGCCUGCAUGAAGUUGGAGUUGCUAGUAACCGCAGGUCAGCACACUGCGGUGAAUACGUUCUCGGGCCUU